Molecule: ribosomal RNA, 157 nt
Filed under: Alatospora acuminata
Lineage: Eukaryota; Fungi; Ascomycota; Leotiomycetes; Leotiales; Leotiaceae
Description: 5.8S ribosomal RNA
Rfam family: 5.8S ribosomal RNA
About the family: 5.8S ribosomal RNA (5.8S rRNA) is a component of the large subunit of the eukaryotic ribosome. It is transcribed by RNA polymerase I as part of the 45S precursor that also contains 18S and 28S rRNA. Functionally, it is thought that 5.8S rRNA may be involved in ribosome translocation.
Source: RNAcentral
AAAACUUUCAACAACGGAUCUCUUGGUUCUGGCAUCGAUGAAGAACGCAGCGAAAUGCGAUAAGUAAUGUGAAUUGCACAAUUCAGUGAAUCAUCGAAUCUUUGAACGCACAUUGCGCCCUCUGGUAUUCCGGGGGGCAUGCCUGUUCGAGCGUCAU